UCUGUCUGAUGGUGGUUCUGUCUGAUGGUGAUUGUCCCUGCAGUGAUCCUGUCGUACACCUCGCUUACUACUUUGUCUGAAUCAUUUCUGUUAUAUGAAUUGAAUGUCUUGUACAUAUUUUACAUUGUUCAUUCUGUACACAUGACAUUGUAGUCUCACUAAGGUUUCUUUCUCUCCCCAUAUAUUUAGAAAGAGUUUUUCUGUGCCGAUGUGAAGGUUUCUGGACAGAGGAUGUUGCCUGCCACGGCCCUCUUCAGUCACAGACGACGAAGCCUGCGAUGCACCAGAGGACCUGCUGGAGGCUCCACAUGAACUCCACCUUGUCCCCUGAGAGGACUUUCACGAACCUGCUUCCCGUAACUUGAUCCCGUCAAGCAGGAGAGCGAGGUGGUGACACGACGGAGGAUGUGACUCACGUGCAAACACUUUCAGUCUGGGCUCGUGGGAAAGCUGCCUUCAGAGAUCUCCCGCUCUGAUCGACUUGCAGGAAAAGUGAUUUUCCCCAUUUGUGGUCUCAGUCAUUAUUCAGAAGAAUGCAAAAUGCUUCGGCAGUAAAUUGAGGGAGACAAUAUCUGCAGAUUCAUGCUUUUUCAACUUUCCGGAACGAGCUAUUUCCGUCUUGCUUUUCUCAAAGUGAUAGAUGUGUGACCUCCAGCAAUCUUACACUUUUUGCAUCCAAUUAUUUAGUGUUAUGCCUGUAAAUAGAUGCUUGCCGUUUUGUGCCAUGAGCAUAUUUUCUCUACUUUUUCUUUCUUCCUGACGGAGUGACUGAAAGUAGCAAAGCAGAUGUUGAAUGUCUGGGAGACACGUUAGCUUUCUCUCCGUCUCGUCCUCCUCUCAUCUCUGUCUCUCCUCGACCCUGUUAUUAUCCCACCACUUUCCUCCUCCCUCCACCACAGCCGACUCUCUUUUCAUUACUGUCUUCUGCUUUCUAAUGUUUCCUCUCCACCAGAAUAGGAGGCCUGAAGCCCCGUCUGUAUUUCAUAGCAUGUGCAACCGAAAUAUCACAAGCUAUCGUAACCUCUUGACCUCUUAAUUUUCCUGCUGAAUGACUGGAAAAGGCUUCAUCACAAACAACAUAGAUCGGUAGAUUAGCACUACGUCACAGCCACUAAACCCUGAAUGUGUGAUGGAACGAUCUGGGUAUCACACUGCUCAGCCUUCCCUGUAAAGCGGAUAGGAGGCUGCGACCGCUUGUUGAACCUCGGAUUCAAGAGGAGCAGUGAAGCAGCUCUUUACCCUCGCAAGACCACUGGAG
This is a long non-coding RNA of Gasterosteus aculeatus aculeatus (three-spined stickleback), 1258 nucleotides long. Lineage: Eukaryota; Metazoa; Chordata; Actinopteri; Perciformes; Gasterosteidae. The record is from Ensembl.